Lolium rigidum is the source of this 3190-nucleotide long non-coding RNA. RefSeq lists it as uncharacterized. The record is from RefSeq and is a predicted model, not a curated record. Lineage: Eukaryota; Viridiplantae; Streptophyta; Magnoliopsida; Poales; Poaceae. The transcript has 2 exons.
CAGCUGCCGACGGUGCGCCCAGCGGCUACUGCCGGCGACUAGGAGUCUAGGACCGAAUUGAUUUUGUCUUAAAACAAAGGGAUGGGACAAGUGAAAAUGAAGAUUCUUUGGCAGCAACAAAUGAUUUUUUGCCUUUACUUCAAUUGGAAUAGCAGCACUGGGAACAAAAUGCUUUGAUCAAUGACUGAUUUCUAAUGAUCUGGUGUGUUUGAGAACAUUUUUUUUCAAGUUUCUUUAAGCCGGCCCGCCCAAGAAAACUUUUCAAGCUCCGCCACUGCUGGGGGCGGGAUUGAUCUCCCAUAGCAACGCACGGGCAUUUAACUAGUAUUUACAGUUGACGAGAGGUACUACGGCUAAUGCCUUCAUCAUUAUGACCUAGGAGAGGUGUUGUUUUGUUACAUAGAACUCUCCUGAAUUAUACAAGUACUUGCUACUAGCUCAACCUAUAAACACAAUUUAUAUCACCUUGUAUUUGUGAUGACAGUGUGCCAUGUGUACCAAUAUGUUGCCUGCUCAAAGUGUUGAGCGCUAGAAGAUGCAAGGUCACGCUGAACUCCACAACUAUGAACUCUCUCAUCUCAAUUCCUUGGCGAUCAGGUGUGCAGUUGUAAUUGGCAUCCCCAACACCAUCGACCGCGAUAGUAAAGCGACGAUCAUCUUGGACAUCAUCACAAAGACUGAGCUCCACGGUCCAACUCUCAUGUCUUCGCCUGUUUAUGCAUGUGCUUAUCCUCUCUAGUGUAUUCGACGAACCAUUACCCGUUGGUGAGAGUCAUACUGUCUACACGUUCACUCUGGCCUCCCUCUUCCAUGACGAUGACUCAACUUCCUGUGAUAUGUCUGCGUUGUUGCUUCUUUCACGCACCCCGACACAAUGGUUUCCACGUUCAUCAGCCUUGAAGAGUGGUUCAUAGAUCUUACUACCAACACACUUUUCGAGAUAGCGUUCGACAUGUCUCCAUAGAGUUUGACCAAUAUUGAUGCAUCGUAUAGCGAUGCCAUGAACUUGGCUGCAUUGCGGACAACAACCUCUUCACGGAUAUUGUGCUAAAAGAGGAUCGUGGCAUCUUCCACGGCCUAAGCUCGUUGAUCGGCAUCGGUGGAGGCCAUGGCAUAUCCAUUGUGGCCAUUUCUAAGGAGUUCUUGCGAAUCACCUGUAACAUGGUGGACCUAGAUCAACUGAUUUAGAAAGGCACCUAGCUGUUGCAUGGUGGAGUCAAUUGUUGUUGACAUGUUUGAGUUUAUUGCAGUUGGAAUAAACUCAAACAUGUCACCAAGGAUGUACUUCACCAUGCCACAACUAGGUAACUUUCUGAUGACUUGUUCUAGGUUCAACAUGUUGCGGUGAUUUGCGGGAACUCCUGAACAAUGGCCAUAGUGGCUAUGACAUGGCCCCCGCCGAUGUUGAUCAGCGAGCUGAGCCCGUGGAAGAUGCCACGAGCCCCUUUCAGCACAAUAUCUAUGGCGAAGUUGUUGUUCGCCAAUGCAUGCAUGGUUCAUGGCAUUGUUAUACAAUGUAUCAAUCUUGGUCAAACUCCAUGGGGACAUGCCGUGCGCUAUCUCGAAAGGCGUGUUGGCAAUGGGAUCUCUGAACCACUCUUCUAGGUUGAAGAAUGUGGAAACCGUUGUGUCGGAGCACGUGAAGAGUAGCAACGGCGCGGACAUGUCACACGAAGUUGAGUCACCAUCGUGGACGGGGAAUCCAGAGUGAGCGUGUAGACGGUAUAACUCUCAUCAACAGGCGAUGAUUCGUAGAAAAAAUCGGAGACUGUACGCAUAAGCCGACGGAGAUACAUGAUCUUGGCCAUGUGGAGCGUGGUCUCGGUGAUGAUGUUCGAGAUAGCUGCCGCAAUAACCUGGAUACCAUGAUGAGCGACCUGAAGAACCCUUUAAUUUGUACGAAGCUGAAGAAAUCCUUGACCUUGUUGAUUAUUUCCGAAUCAGGAGGAUCAGCUCCGGUGGGUGAACCAGGGGUUGUGCUGGUUAUGGCAAUGGUUACACAUUGCCGGAGGAACAUCAACCCUGAUGCAGUGUGUGCAUUAGAGGCUGUGCUGGUUGUUAUGAAUCGCCGGAGAAAAAACUGUUCCGUUGCUGCAGGUUUGGGUUUCUUGUUAAUAUGUUCCAUAUCUCUAGCCUACAUGUUUUCUUUCUGUUGUGGCACUUCUGCAGCUAGUGCGGCAGGGCUUGUCUGGUUGUGGUGAUGCGUGCCUAGAUCAGAAGAACUACUAUAUGUGUCACUUCCACAAGCUCGACUUCCUCAGUCCACAGGACCUCAUUGUGGGUGCAGGUCUUUUGAUUUCAAGAUCUUCUGUACCUGCAUCUUCAACUGGCUAAGCAAGUAAGCAAGGCAAUUGAGGGUGCCCGUUACUUGCGAGAUUGGUCCUUCGAUCAUUUGGCUUCACACGUUAUCAAUAGGGCGUUAUAUGGAAUCAACUUGCACUAUCAUGGGGCCUUUAUAUAUUAUUCUGAAGAAAAAUAUGGAAAAGGUAGAACAUCUGAUUGGUGAAGCACAAGAGAUCAUCUCGUUAAAAAGAACCCUACAAGAAACUAUUGCCCAACCACACCAGUAUUCUUGUUAUGGCAUUCUAGGUAAUGCUAACCGGAGCCAUGAUGUUGCUGCCAACUCCCGAGCUGCAGUCACUACUGCAACGCCACCAUCAGCGGUUAUUGGAUGAGAUAAAGAUUGUGAUAAGAUCGUAGAAAUGCUUCAUGAGAGGGAAGAAGAUGGUCAACCUGACGCCAAUUGUGCUCAAUGUUACUUUGUAACUGGCAUUCAUGGCGUCACUGGUUCUAGAAAUUCAACCCAUAUACAACUUGUUUGUUCCCGUGAGAAAACGGAUAGGCAAGAAAAGAAGGACGGCCAUUUUGACCUUGUUAUGUGGAUUCAUGUUUCUCAGGAUUUUGGUGUGGAGAUCAUUUUCAAGGAGAUUUUUGAGGCAGCCACGGUGACUUUUUGCCCUUACUUCAAUACUCUUGACUCCUUGCAAAGUAAUUUGGAGAAGGAAUUGCAUGGAAACGGUUCCUCUUGGUACAACAUGAUGGUUGGUACAUAAAUAGAGUUAUAGAUAAGACGAUGUAGUGUGGUAGUACAUAAAUAGAGUUGGAAAAUGAUGUGUGGUACAUAAAUUUGCAUUGUAAAACUCAAUGAAGACUCAGUUUGUACCAAGAUUACCAGUUUUUAAUCUUUUAA